AGAGUUUGAUCAUGGCUCAGAUUGAACGCUGGCGGAAUGCUUUACACAUGCAAGUCGAACGGGCUUAAGGAGCUUGCUCCUUAAGUUAGUGGCGAACGGGUGAGUAAUAUAUCGGAACGUAUCCAAUAAUGGGGGAUAACUAAUCGAAAGGUUGGCUAAUACCGCAUACGCCCUACGGGGGAAAGCUAGGGACCUUCGGGCCUGGCGUUAAUGGAGCGGCCGAUAUCUGAUUAGCUAGUUGGUGGGGUAAAGGCCCACCAAGGCGACGAUCAGUAGCUGGUCUGAGAGGACGACCAGCCACACUGGAACUGAGACACGGUCCAGACUCCUACGGGAGGCAGCAGUGGGGAAUUUUGGACAAUGGGCGAAAGCCUGAUCCAGCCAUUCCGCGUGAGUGAAGAAGGCCUUCGGGUUGUAAAGCUCUUUCGCAAGGGAAGAACACUUAGUCUCUAACAUAGACUGAGGUUGACGGUACCUUGAUAAGAAGCACCGGCUAACUACGUGCCAGCAGCCGCGGUAAUACGUAGGGUGCGAGCGUUAAUCGGAAUUACUGGGCGUAAAGCGUGCGCAGGCUGUUUUGUAAGUCAGAUGUGAAAUCCCCGAGCUCAACUUGGGAACUGCGUUUGAAACUACAAGACUAGAAUAUGUCAGAGGGGGGUAGAAUUCCACGUGUAGCAGUGAAAUGCGUAGAGAUGUGGAG
RNAcentral lists this ribosomal RNA (700 nucleotides) under uncultured bacterium. Its description in RNAcentral is "bacterial SSU rRNA". It matches the Rfam family "Bacterial small subunit ribosomal RNA", at positions 8 to 703 of the family's 1533-position model. The record is from RNAcentral.